AUCGGGAAAGUCAUGACGCAUUUGUGCAUAGAAAAAUUUGCCCUGACUUUCCUGACG
RNAcentral lists this microRNA precursor (57 nucleotides) under Tupaia belangeri chinensis (Chinese tree shrew). RNAcentral's name for it is "Tupaia chinensis (Chinese tree shrew) microRNA tch-mir-9771f precursor". The record is from miRBase by way of RNAcentral. Lineage: Eukaryota; Metazoa; Chordata; Mammalia; Scandentia; Tupaiidae.